GCCAAACACCUAGCCUAUAGACUUCUGAAUAAACUCACCAUAACAACCCCACAAAAUAAAACAUUAAAACAUUUAAGUAGUGGCGAUCAAAAAAAUUCUAAGAGCUUCAACUUUAGUACCGCAAGGGAAAGGUGAAAGAUAAGUGAAACAAAAUAAAGCACAAAAUAGUAGAGAUUUAAGCUCGUACCUUUUGCAUCAUGGUCUAGCAAGUCUUUGUCAAGCAAAACGAAACUCAAGUUUGACCCCCCGAAACUAAGCGAGCUACUUCAAAAUAGCCUAUAGGGCCAACCCGUCUCUGUAGCAAAAGAGUGGGAAAAUUUUCAAGUAGAGGUGACAAGCCUACCGAGCCUAGAGAUAGCUGGUUAUUCAAGAAAAGAAUUUUAGUUCUACCUUAAGCCCCCACUUGAAUACUAAACAAGUUACAGAGCUUAAGAGCUAUUCAAAUAAGGUACAGCUUAUUUGAAAAAGGCUACAACCUAAACUCCAGGGUAAGUCACAAACAACUUAACAAAGUGGGCCUAAGAGCAGCCACCUUUCAAAAAGCGUCAAAGCUUUAUUUUUUCAUUAACUAAUACCACCAACCACCACAAACCCGCCCCCAAUAUUGAAUGACUUCAUAAAUUAUGAAGGCCACCAUGCUAGAACUAGUAACAAGAACAAAAAAUUCUCCAAAGUACAAGCAUAAGCCAACAAUGGACAACCCACUGGCAAUUAACGGCAUGAGCCCCAUAUAAUAACACACCAAGAAAAUCCUAUAAAUUAAACCGUUAACCUUACACUAGUGUACUCCAGGAAAGAUUAAAAGGGGGAGAAGGAACUCGGCAAAUUUUAGCCCCGCCUGUUUACCAAAAACAUCGCCUCUUGUAUAACCAUAAGAGGUCCAGCCUGCCCAGUGACCUGAUUCAACGGCCGCGUGAUUUUAAGCGCGCAAAGGUAGCAUAAUCACUUGUCCUUUAAAUAGGGACUCGUAUCAACGGCACCACGAGAGCUAUACUGUCUCCUCCCCUCAAUCAGUGAAACUAAUCUCCCUGUGAAAAAGCAGGGAUAAGACUAUAAGACGAGAAGACCCCAUGGAGCUUAAAACACAGCGACAAUCUAAAUACCACAGACCCAUACAAUUUUAAACCCUGUUUGCUAGUUUUAGGUUGGGGCGACCGCGGAGUAAAACAAAGCCUCCACAGCGAAAGGGGCUACACCCUUACCCAAGAAUUACACUUCUAAGAAUCAAUACUAUGACGCUCAAUGACCCGACCAUCGAUCAACGAACCAAGUUACCCUGGGGAUAACAGCGCAAUCUACUUCUAGAGCUCGUAUCGACAAGUAGGCUUACGACCUCGAUGUUGGAUCAGGGUACCCCAGUGGCGCAGUCGCUACUAACGGUUUGUUUGUUCAACAAUUAAAACC
This 1404-nucleotide ribosomal RNA is filed under the name Occidozyga laevis. Its description in RNAcentral is "partial 16S large subunit ribosomal RNA". It matches the Rfam family "Bacterial large subunit ribosomal RNA", at positions 157 to 2595 of the family's 2925-position model. The record is from RNAcentral. Lineage: Eukaryota; Metazoa; Chordata; Amphibia; Anura; Dicroglossidae.